Molecule: long non-coding RNA, 1703 nt
Filed under: Anas platyrhynchos platyrhynchos (common mallard)
Lineage: Eukaryota; Metazoa; Chordata; Aves; Anseriformes; Anatidae
Description: lncRNA (ENSAPLG00000028699.1)
Source: RNAcentral
GAAAGCAAAGUAGUAAAAAAGUUGGCAUGGACCCACUGCCUAUGUAGGUAUGUAUCUAUGCCCUGUUCACUUUUUUUUUUUUUGUGUGUGAACACACUUCUCUGUCCUUCUGGCUUUCUAAUCUUAACUCCUUAACUAACUGAAAGGCUGCAGAUAAGACAUUGGAGAAUCUGAAGCAGAGCACACUCACAGUUGUGCCAGGCACAAAGAAAUUACCGAGAAAUUAUCAGUAGCUCUGAUACAAGCCUAGCAGUUAGGGCACUUUAAUGGGAUUUGGGAGCCUUGGCUAAGUUCAGUUGUUCUGCUCCCACGUCCCUCUGUGUCCUUGAGCAAGUCGUGCAUGGAUUGCUUUUAAAAAACUCUCACACAGGCUGCCUGAAUCCAACCUGAGCUGUUGGGCUGGGUAGUCCAACAUCUCCAGUAUCUGCGUAGAUAAACAUCUCUAGUACGUGCCCCGUAGGAGCACUGACUGCAGAGACAUUUGCAACUGGAUCCUCAUUCAGCACUUGAGCAAGCAUUUAAUGUCAGUCAAGGAGAAUUUAGCCUCCAAAGAGCAUGUACCCAGAAUAGAGCUUAUUGUGACCAUGCUAUAAAUAUGCUUGCACCUUCCUCUCCUCUGCCCACCCCAGAAGAUCGUCCUGCAUCCAAUGCGUGGUGGCAAAGCCAGCCUCAAUAUUUUUGCUCCCAGAGAUGGGGAGUGUGAAAACUCGUUUUGAUUUAGAACCAGCUGUUUUGACAUCAUUCCCUUUGUGAGGAUGCAUAAAAGUUUUUGGGUUUGUUCCAGACCAAGUUAGGAAACCUUGAAUGUUGCCACAGAAGAGUUCUCGGGCUGCUCACUUUCUCUCAAAUUUUCCAGGGUUAUUUUCCCUUGGGAUAUCUGGUUAACUUGUUUAAGUUGCCGGUUCCUCUGGCAUCUUGGAUCUUUCACCUUGACCUGCUUAUCCUUGGCUUCUCCCUUUUCCCAUUCUGCGUCCCAUGUGCUUAUUUGUUUUAUCUGGUCCGUUACAGAAGCCACUGUGUUCACUGGAAGCUGACAUCCGGGACUUGGCAUCCAUUACAGGGCUAACAAAAGGCCAUAAUCCAGGCUUUUCAACUGUUCAUCCACACGGCUCGACAUCAGCUGUGCAGGAGCGUAAACCUGCGAUUACCAAGCACGGGGCGGCUCUCCCACCUGUUCCAUCAUUUCUCCACCUUAUGUGCACUCACUCUGAGGACUGACAAGAACUGCCCUCCUAUUUUGUCCACCAAGAGCCUGGGAAGCUCUACUCACGUGAGUAGUUUUAUUGACUGGAAUGGGAUUGCUCAAGUUUGGAGGAACUGGGCCUCGAUGGGAGCAGUGGAACAUUCCAUGGAAAAUCUGAUGCACUCCAAGGAAUGCCAAUUCCCAUCGCUAUAAUUUCUCUCUGUAUAAAAUUCUCUCAAGUGCUCUGUUUCUCUUUAUGCAUCUGCUUCUUUGGAAAAUGACCUGCAUUUCGAAGAUCAGGUAGGAUUUGAAGAGAGCUGUAGAGGCAUUAAGUAGUAUAACGGAGUACCCCCUGCCCAAUUAAUACAAUAAUGUAUAAAAUAUGUUCUGAGAUCCUUUUUCCAGGACAGUAUUUAUUAUCCCAUUCCACAUUCUUCCAAGGAAGAAAAAAAGAAACAGGAAUGUAUUGGUCAUAUUGAAAUGAUGAAACGAAUAAAAUGUUUAUUUUAAAACGCUGGCA